GUGAGGACCAGGGUUGAGAAACACUGGUCUACACCAAGCAAAAAUCUGAUAGCCCCUAUAGGCUGUUUAUGAUCUGCAGGAUCACUCAAGAAUGACAGAUAGGAGAACUCUGCAGAGUUCCUUAUCACACACCUGAAGAUAACAGGACAGCAGUACAAAGCUAUGAUCCUGACAAGCAAAGAAGUUUCAAUCCCAUCGGAAGAAUCCCACCUUGUACAGGGACAAAGACUCAAAGAUGGAGGGAUUACAGAAAGUACAGAGAGCCCAUUUACAUGGGAAUCUCGACUCAGUGCAUAAUUUCUCCAAGAGUUAUGGACUUGGAACAAAACAAAUACUGAUGUUUAAUUAAGAAAAUAGGCACAAAAACUCAAACCAUGGUGCCAACAAUAUAUCCUUGAAAUACCUUGAGCUAUAGCAGUAAUUUAAAGAUGCUUUAUUUCAGGCGCUGUGAAUCCAGGUAGUUUCUUUGAUUUUUUUUUAAAGAUUGUUGAACAUGCUUUAAAAGUUUUAUGUCCAAGCACAGAAAAUUGUACAUACUGUUGAGAUUCAUUACAAACACUAUUCUGUAGUCAUCUUCAUAUUCUUUGGUUAGUCAGAGGAAAUGACAUCAAUUAUUUGAUAUAUAUAGUCUUACUGAAAUUUGUGAGAGCUUUGUUUUUUAACGAUGAAGUAUGACUAGGGUCAUUCAGAUUUCACCAUCGUUUUCACAAGUUUUUAAUGAAUUUUCUCGCUCAAAUGUGUUUUGUUUGAACUUUGCUUAAAAAUGCAGCAUCCAAACAAAUAAAGUAGUAAAAUCAAUCAAGAGCUGUUGACUGUU
Molecule: long non-coding RNA, 817 nt
Organism: Poecilia latipinna (sailfin molly)
Lineage: Eukaryota; Metazoa; Chordata; Actinopteri; Cyprinodontiformes; Poeciliidae
Exons: 2
Source: RefSeq, a predicted model, not a curated record